Molecule: microRNA precursor, 81 nt
Organism: Panthera pardus (leopard)
Lineage: Eukaryota; Metazoa; Chordata; Mammalia; Carnivora; Felidae
Gene: MIR99A
Product: microRNA 99a
Source: Ensembl
CCCAUUGGCAUAAACCCGUAGAUCCGAUCUUGUGGUGAAGUGGACUGCACAAGCUCGCUUCUAUGGGUCUUUGUCAGUGUG